This 291-nucleotide ribosomal RNA is filed under the name Terriglobia bacterium. Its description in RNAcentral is "partial 23S ribosomal RNA". It matches the Rfam family "Bacterial large subunit ribosomal RNA", at positions 2639 to 2925 of the family's 2925-position model. The record is from RNAcentral. Lineage: Bacteria; Pseudomonadati; Acidobacteriota; Terriglobia.
UAUCUGUGGUGGGCGUAGGAGAUUUGAGGGGGGCUGCCUCUAGUACGAGAGGACCGAGGCGGACGAACCUCUUGUGAUCCAGUUGUCACGCCAGUGGCAUAGCUGGGUAGCGAAGUUCGGUCGAGAUAAGCGCUGAAAGCAUAUAAGCGCGAAGCUCUCCCCAAGAUGAGAUCUCCCAAGCGCAAGCUAAUAAGGGCACUCGAAGACGACGAGUUUGAUAGGACGGAUGUGUACGCGUGGUAACACGUUCAGCUAACCGUUACUAAUCGCCCGUUCGGCUUGACCAUAAAA